CAAGUUUAAUUGAUAGUAAGGUAGCGAGUUUAAUAUGUAGUGAGGUAGCGAGUUUAAUAAUUAGUUAGGUAGCGAGUUUAAUAGGUAUUGAGGUAGUGACUAAUGUUAGUCUAUUUACUGUUUACACAGUGGAUUGACAACUUUCCUGUGAUUCAGCUGCCUCAUGCCUUCACUGAAAUUGUACCAAAUAUGUUGUGUCAUAAUUUGUUAUAUCUCUCCAUUGGUUCAUUUUCUGAUACGUCUUUGAUUGCUGUUUCUGUAGACCA
This is a long non-coding RNA of Ictalurus punctatus (channel catfish), 266 nucleotides long. The record is from Ensembl. Lineage: Eukaryota; Metazoa; Chordata; Actinopteri; Siluriformes; Ictaluridae.